UGUUUGAUGUUCUAACGUGGACCCGUGAUCCGGGUUGCGGACAGUGUCUGGUGGGUAGUUUGACUGGGGCGGUCUCCUCCUAAAGAGUAACGGAGGAGCACGAAGGUUGGCUAAUCCUGGUCGGACAUCAGGAGGUUAGUGCAAUGGCAUAAGCCAGCUUGACUGCGAGCGUGACGGCGCGAGCAGGUGCGAAAGCAGGUCAUAGUGAUCCGGUGGUUCUGAAUGGAAGGGCCAUCGCUCAACGGAUAAAAGGUACUCCGGGGAUAACAGGCUGAUACCGCCCAAGAGUUCAUAUCGACGGCGGUGUUUGGCACCUCGAUGUCGGCUCAUCACAUCCUGGGGCUGAAGUAGGUCCCAAGGGUAUGGCUGUUCGCCAUUUAAAGUGGUACGCGAGCUGGGUUUAGAACGUCGUGAGACAGUUCGGUCCCUAUCUGCCGUGGGCGCUGGAGAACUGAGGGGGGCUGCUCCUAGUACGAGAGGACCGGAGUGGACGCAUCACUGGUGUUCGGGUUGUCAUGCCAAUGGCACUGCCCGGUAGCUAAAUGCGGAAGAGAUAAGUGCUGAAAGCAUCUAAGCACGAAACUUGCCCCGAGAUGAGUUCUCCCUGAGACUUUAGGUCUCCUGAAGGAACGUUGAAGACGACGACGUUGAUAGGCCGGGUGUGUAAGCGCAGCGAUGCGUUGAGCUAACCGGUACUA
Molecule: ribosomal RNA, 698 nt
Filed under: Salmonella enterica subsp. enterica serovar Brandenburg
Lineage: Bacteria; Pseudomonadati; Pseudomonadota; Gammaproteobacteria; Enterobacterales; Enterobacteriaceae
Description: partial 23S ribosomal RNA
Rfam family: Bacterial large subunit ribosomal RNA
Source: RNAcentral